ACCAUAUCUUGUGUUCAGGGUGCUUCCGAUUCUAGGAUCGGGCGCUAAGAGGGAAUUCGGUGCGCAGCGUCUGCAAAGGUCGCGGCAAAGCCGGAGCUGCCCCCGCAACUGUAAGCGGUGAGUUUCUGCCCAUCAUGUCACUGGCGCGAGCCGGGAAGGCGGGCAGGGGCGUUGAGCCGCGAGCCAGGAGACCUGCCUUGAACGGAAACGUCCA
RNAcentral lists this non-coding RNA (214 nucleotides) under Hyphomicrobiales bacterium. The record is from RNAcentral. Lineage: Bacteria; Pseudomonadati; Pseudomonadota; Alphaproteobacteria; Hyphomicrobiales.